Molecule: transfer RNA, 102 nt
Filed under: Sphaerosporella brunnea
Lineage: Eukaryota; Fungi; Ascomycota; Pezizomycetes; Pezizales; Pyronemataceae
Rfam family: tRNA
About the family: Transfer RNA (tRNA) molecules are approximately 80 nucleotides in length. Their secondary structure includes four short double-helical elements and three loops (D, anti-codon, and T loops).
Source: Rfam by way of RNAcentral
GCGCUAAUAGCUCAGUUGGGAGAGCGUCAGACUGAAGCAAUUCGGUCCUAUCCAAUAUCCGGGGUAAUCUGAAGGUCACCCGUUCAAUCCGGGUUUGGCGCA